RNAcentral lists this ribosomal RNA (465 nucleotides) under uncultured bacterium. Its description in RNAcentral is "partial 16S ribosomal RNA". It matches the Rfam family "Bacterial small subunit ribosomal RNA", at positions 28 to 507 of the family's 1533-position model. The record is from RNAcentral.
GACGAACGCUGGCGGCGUGCUUAACACAUGCAAGUCGAACGGAAAGGCCCCUUUGGGGGUACUCGAGUGGCGAACGGGUGAGUAACACGUGAGUAACCUGCCCUUGACUUCGGGAUAACUUCAGGAAACUGGGGCUAAUACCGGAUAGGAAUCCUUGCUGCAUGGUGGGGGUUGGAAAGCUUCAGCGGUUUUGGAUGGACUCGCGGCUUAUCAGCUUGUUGGUGGGGUAGUGGCUUACCAAGGCUUUGACGGGUAGCCGGCCUGAGAGGGCGACCGGCCACAUUGGGACUGAGAUACGGCCCAGACUCCUACGGGAGGCAGCAGUGGGGAAUAUUGCACAAUGGGCGGAAGCCUGAUGCAGCAACGCCGCGUGCGGGAUGACGGCCUUCGGGUUGUAAACCGCUUUCAGCAGGGGCGAAGCUUGUGGUGACGGUACCUGCAGAAGAAGCACCGGCUAACUACGUG